GAGAAAUGGAAAACAGUUAGAAGAUUUUUUAUUAAGUCUUUUAAGCAUAUAGUUUCAUAUUUUAUUUAUUUAGUUUUUAUGUUUUGAUUUGGGGCUGCAACCAUGCAUUCAGCUACACAACUUUUGUUUCAAAACUUUUUGUCUUUUCUCCCACAGACAGAUACCUCAUUAACCUUUGUCUGAAUAUAUAUUACAGAGCAUGAAUACAAAAUAUACCUCAUAUAUUUAAUUUGUAUUUUUUUUUUUGUAAAGCCACUUAAGAAUCAAUGUUUUUGUUUCAACAGAUCACUGGAUUUUUCAUAUUUUGUAUAAUUAUACCAAAGAAGGGAAUAUUGAACACACAUCUACCUCAUUCAUUAUAGACUGUGCCAAUCAAACAUGACCACAAUCCUAAUUGCCAGUUUUUCUGUGUAGCCUUCUUAGGUCAAAACCCACACACACAUUUGCUAGACCAGAAAAUGCAGAGACAAAACCAACACAGGUGGACCACUUAAGUUGUGAAGGAGUUCACACUUUUCUCUUUUUGUAUUGUUGUUGGGGGAAAACACCUGGAAUCCAUAAUUUCAUCUGUACAACACUGCACAGCUCUUGUCCUACAGUGUGUUCAGGUUUGUGGUUUAUCUUGUUAGAUAAUGUAUAGGUAGUAAUGUUAAAUGGUAAUGACACAAUAGGGUACCAUGCAGCAACACAGAACAAACUUCCGUUCGGCCACUGUAAUUAAUUGUCUUUCCAGGUGUCACUUCUGUCAUUGAAUGCGUCUGUAAUCAUUAUUCCCAGAGUUCACUUGAAAAAUGUGUUCUUCUGGAAAUCAUGUCAUUAUGUGGACGGAGAACAUUUUUAGAUUCAAAGCUGUAUUCCAAUGUUUGUGCUAGAAUGCCUCUUAGAACACACAGAACUGUAUAUACCGUUGCUUUAUUCUGAGUAGCAUGCUGGUGUGGACACUGGAACGGCGCUGAGGAGCAGAACAUUCUGUCAGGACAGUGUCACUUUCUGUGGAGUCACUGAAGCACAUUUAUCCCAUGCUUCGCAGUGCUCUGUCACUUUGAAACCAGUUCCGUCCAUAAUAGUUACCUCCUAGUCCUACUUUUUGGGUCAAAUCGACGCAUCAACAUAGCAGAGUAAUAAGCAUCCACAUACUAUGUGAGAAGACAGAACUCCUAACUUUAGCCAUCUGGGAGUGAAAUAUGAUAGUGAUUUAUGUCAGGGAGAAGCUGGGUGUCGGGACUGGGUGUGUAUGUUUUAUGGAAUCCAUACAGAGACCCACUGAUGAACGUACAAUAUAUUUUCAUCCAUCCUCCACAUAACCAAACCACACAACGAUUUAUGUCUCUAAAUCUGACUGAAGCCAUUGUUUUACCCAUGAAGGUGAUAUUUACUGAAGGACCUAUAUGCCUAUGGGGGAAAUAGAACUGAAACAGAACAUAUCAGAGAUGGUUUUGAUAUCACAUCACUGGCAUGGUGGAAGUCUCAAGGCUGUUUCUCCAGCUCACAUCUCUUCCUGUACUGCUCAGCCUUGGAGGCGGGACACCCAAAACAUUUAGCCAAUCACUGAGCAGCUUUGCUUACUGAAGCGACAAGAACAUCCAGUACAAUCAACAUAAUUCUUGUAACCAAAGAUAUUUUUCAAAAAAAACUGCAAGAAAGAUCACUUUGUUAAUGAAAAAAUUACCAAAUAUGACAGAGAAG
Long non-coding RNA from Esox lucius (northern pike), 1686 nucleotides. The record is from Ensembl. Lineage: Eukaryota; Metazoa; Chordata; Actinopteri; Esociformes; Esocidae.